Molecule: non-coding RNA, 770 nt
Organism: Callithrix jacchus (white-tufted-ear marmoset)
Lineage: Eukaryota; Metazoa; Chordata; Mammalia; Primates; Cebidae
Source: RefSeq, a predicted model, not a curated record
CUGUAAUCCCUCAGGACCCGCUCGAUAGCCCCCGCUUCGCCGGCCCGGACGAUGUAGAGGGCGCGCUCCUCAUCCAUGGCCGCAGGUGCGGGGGAGCCACGGCCGCUCUGCGCGCCCAAGACGCUGCCUCCAGGCUGUUCCCACUACUUGGUUCCUCAUGGCCCAGCUGAAACCCCGAAACAGAAGAACAGCAAUCCCUGGUGGGACAUCUUACAUUGGAUGAUGAGUUUCCGGUGUUCAUCGCGAGAGUCUUCCAUGGUGUAAAGGGUUUGCUUGGUGAUGCUGUUCAGGUCCACGUUCCUCCAGUCUUCCAGCAUUUGGAAUGUGAUGUCUGCGCUGUGGAUCACUGUUCGAGAUGCCUGGAAUCCAAUCCAAUCAACUCAUUAGCUCAUGGGUUGUUAGGAAAGCACCAGAAGACUCCAUAACUCAGAAGAUGCAGACGCUGUUUUCUCCUGUGGCUCUUUCCACACAUCCCUUUUUCUCUACAAGAAACUACCAGGGUGGGCCGGGCCAGACCAGACCCUGCUGUUUCCAGUCCCUUUGGUCUUGACCCCAUGGAACAAUAGGAUGAAGCCUGAGAUCUGUCAGCUUUCCGAUGUAAGCCUGUGGGAUGGGAGCUCUGUGCUGAAUAAUCCUUGUGUCUCUAGUGCCUGAGAAGCCACAGGCCGAGAUUUAGAAGUAUUCUUGCUACCCUUGGGCCUGACCUAAUCCCAGAAAUUUCAAAGUGUGUAUUUUUCAUAUAAAUACAUUCUGAAGCAGUUUGUGCUCUA